This is a long non-coding RNA of Eriocheir sinensis (Chinese mitten crab), 592 nucleotides long. RefSeq lists it as uncharacterized. The transcript is spliced from 4 exons. The record is from RefSeq and is a predicted model, not a curated record. NCBI's taxonomy places the organism in Eukaryota, Metazoa, Arthropoda, Malacostraca, Decapoda, Varunidae.
UGAAAAUUCUUAAAGAAAAAUUUGGCUGUCCAGUAACAGGAGGUCGGAAAAGUACGGCAUUGUCAGAAAAGGAAGAAGUUCAACCACGCAAGAAAAGGCAAAAGCUCAAGGUUGAUUUGGAGGGACAUGAAGAUGAUGAGGUGACUACACGCGCCCACAUAGAUGCACUGAAUGCAGAAUUGAGAAAAGGGUCACCUGAUCUUGCAGUGAUUGCUGUAAAAAUGGACAGAACAUUUGUCUACCGUUGGAAAAGGAUCAACGAUCAACGUUUGUCAGUGGCUGACAUCAUCUCAGAGUUUCCAGCCCUGAGGCGAAGAAAUUUUCUUGCAGGGGAAGCUGAACGACAUGGUAUUUUGAAGCCCCUUGAAAACUCUUACCUCCAACUCCAUACAUCACUACUUGAGUUGAUGAAGUAUACCAAGUCCCGUUGCAAAGGUUACUAAGAGUACUUCUCAAAAUACCAAGAGGACUUGGACAGCAGUCUGAAUGAAGAUAAAAGAAUCGAAUGUGGCCUGCAGUUUGCUGUGCAACUUCUGCCAUCGCUUUUUAGAGAGGAUGCGACGUAUCUACUCGCUGAUUCGAAUGAGGAAAU